GUUCAUCUCAGCCUAUGCUACCCUCCAGUCCCUCAACUUCUUGGCGCUGACGGAAACAAGGAUUACCACAGAUAUCACUGCCUCUCCUACUGCUCUCUCCUCGUCUGCCCACGUGUUCUUGCAUACCCCGAGAGCAUCUGGCCAGCGGGGUUCCCUUGGAGAGUUCAUCAAUGAGCUUGAUAAGUUCCUUUCCUGAGGAUGGCUCACCUCUCACAGUUCUGGACCAUUUCCGGAGACCUUCUCCCUUACCUCACCUCGCUCAUCAACUCAUCCUUGACCGCUUGCUACGUCCCUUCCGUCUUCAAGAGAGCGAGAGUUGCACCCCUUCUGAAAAAACCUACACUCGAUCCCUCCGAUGUCAACAACUACAGACCAACUCAUCCUGCUGCUGAUGACGACGAUGACCUUGACACCAGCGUCAGUAGUACAGAGCCUGUAGACCCAUUGGAUGAAUGCUUUCAGACUGGAAUAAGCUCAAGCUCAACAUCAUCUGACUUUGAAACAAGCCAGGACAGCCAAAGGAGACUUGCAGUACAAAUCAAAGCAUUGGGAAGUGAAGAAAGUGUACGAGAGGCUUGUCCACCUGGCUGUGGAGUGCAGAAAGGACCAGACGGUUGUCUACAAGGAGCCUGAGUCACAGCUCCCCAAACCCAACAUCCCUUCCAACAUCGCCACAGCACCAAAGCCUGCGAAAACAGCUUCCAUUACGCAGCACAAGAAGAGGUUCACCAGUUGAAGAACAUUCUGGAACCUGCUUGGAACAUUCAACCAACACAACACCUUAUUCAGUUAAACUCUUGUUGUAGUAUAAUAUUGUAUGUUCAUUACUGCAUUGUGCUAUAUAUAUAUAGCUGUUGUACAUAUGUAUAUAAUGGUGUCGUAUGUGAUAUUUUGUACAAGUGUACUGACAAGUGACUAAAUGGAAUUCCAGCUGUAUCAGAAACCAAUAAAGUGUUGGAUCAAUUCAUUGUGAUCCCUUACGAAAAAAGAUUGCAGUCAGAAUGCAGUAUAACUGUGGUACACUGCAGUAUAACUGUAGUUAGA
RNAcentral lists this long non-coding RNA (1044 nucleotides) under Salmo salar (Atlantic salmon). RNAcentral's name for it is "lncRNA (ENSSSAG00000090018.1)". Lineage: Eukaryota; Metazoa; Chordata; Actinopteri; Salmoniformes; Salmonidae. The record is from RNAcentral.